This 330-nucleotide ribosomal RNA is filed under the name uncultured bacterium. RNAcentral's name for it is "bacterial SSU rRNA". It matches the Rfam family "Bacterial small subunit ribosomal RNA", at positions 568 to 898 of the family's 1533-position model. The record is from RNAcentral.
UGUGUAGGCGGUGCUCUAAGUCUGUUGUGAAAUCUCCCGGCUUAACUGGGAGGGUGCGGCGGAAACUGGAGUGCUCGAGGGAUGGAGAGGAUAGCGGAAUUCCUGGUGUAGCGGUGAAAUGCGUAGAUAUCAGGAGGAACACCUGUGGUGUAGACAGCUAUCUGGACAUUUUCUGACGCUGAGACACGAAAGCGUGGGUAGCAAACAGGAUUAGAUACCCUGGUAGUCCACGCCCUAAACGAUGCAUACUUGGUGUGAGCGAUUCAUUUCGUUCGUGCCGGAGCUAACGCGUUAAGUAUGCCGCCUGGGGAGUACGGUCGCAAGGCUGAA